RNAcentral lists this ribosomal RNA (497 nucleotides) under uncultured bacterium. RNAcentral describes it as "partial 16S ribosomal RNA". It matches the Rfam family "Bacterial small subunit ribosomal RNA", at positions 28 to 507 of the family's 1533-position model. The record is from RNAcentral.
GAUGAACGCUGGCGGCGUGCCUAAUACAUGCAAGUCGAGCGAACAGACGAGGAGCUUGCUCUUCUGACGUUAGCGGCGGACGGGCGAGUAACACGUGGAUAACCUACCUAUAAGACUGGGAUAACUUCGGGAAACAGGAGCUACUACCGGAUAAUAUAUUCAACCGCAUGGUUCAAUAGUGAAAGACGGUUUUGCUGUCACUUAUAGAUGGAUCCGCGUCGCAUUAGCUAGUUGGUAAGGUAACGGCUUACCAAGGCAACGAUGCGUAGCCGACCUGAGAGGGUGAUCGGCCACACUGGAACUGAGACACGGUCCAGACUCCUACGGGAGGCAGCAGUAGGGAAUCUUCCGCAAAGGGCGAAAGCCUGACGGAGCAACGCCGCGUGAGUGAUGAAGGUCUUCGGAUCGUAAAACUCUGUUAUUAGGAAAGAACAAAUGUGUAAGUAACUAUGCACGUCUUGACGGUACCUAAUCAGAAAGCCACGGCUAACUACGUG